RNAcentral lists this small nuclear RNA (108 nucleotides) under Castor canadensis (American beaver). The record is from RNAcentral. Lineage: Eukaryota; Metazoa; Chordata; Mammalia; Rodentia; Castoridae.
AAACUCACUUUGCAGCACAUCUGCUAAAAAUUGGAACAAUACAGGUGAGAUGAGCUUGGUCCCAGAGCAAGGAUGGCAUGUAAACUUUGUGAAGCAUUCCAUAUUUUU